This 911-nucleotide long non-coding RNA is filed under the name Androctonus crassicauda. Lineage: Eukaryota; Metazoa; Arthropoda; Arachnida; Scorpiones; Buthidae. The record is from RNAcentral.
AUAAUUUUUUCAAUAACUGCCAUCCACCUCUUUUUUUCGCGAACAUUUGGGCCAGAAAAACAAUGUAACUGAUUUGGGCCAGAAAAACAAUGUAACUGAUUUGGGCCAGAAAAACAAUGUAACAGAACAAAGGCUUAGCUGCAGCCCUUUAGAUUCUGCCCACAGAUGUCAUGCACCCCUUGCACCCCCGCUUAAGACGCCACUGGUCAUGGUGUCAAGUUUAUUGUUUAAUGAUAGCCUCCUCUCUCGUUGUUUUUGAUAAUGGGCUUUCCUAGUCAGGGUUCUACAUUUAUUCUUUGACCAACGUUCAUACGGUCCGUACAGUUUUCUAUCGCUGCUCGUUUUUUAUAUAUCUCAUUUUUCUACUACGAUUUCGUUUGAAAUACAAAUGGAUGAUGUGAGCGUGCAGACGACGAUAAGUUUUCCGUCAGAGUCGGAAACUCGAGUAUCGUCCUCGGACGUUCUCCUGUUUUUAUUUUCCUUUGCCGAGCAUGUGCCCCGACGGAGCCGCCGCUAUCGUGGCCUGUUUUCGAGCCGGAACUUGUACUCACCCCGACGACGCCCAAGCAGCUCCUCCCUGUCCAAAAUGUCCUAUGUUCGCCAGAGAACCCAGCGUUCUCGUGUCGGCUACGAGUACCGAUGUUUGCGGAGCAAGACACUUAUCCCUGCCAGGCGCACCUACAGUCAACGUGGCCCGAAACGAAAGACUGUUUGCACUGGGUCUUUGUCCUCAAUAGUGAACACUUUCUUCCAGCAUGUUUCAAUAUCUACGAAACAGGUCCUGUUUCUGGCUUUUGCGUGGGUGUGCGACUUGAAUGUCACGUUUUCAAGUCAGCACAUUGGCAUAAGAAGCCACACUGCUACUGAUUAUUAUCGUUCAUUCGGGGAAGUGGUGGAAAUAAUCGUAUCGC